RNAcentral lists this ribosomal RNA (253 nucleotides) under uncultured bacterium. RNAcentral describes it as "partial 16S ribosomal RNA". It matches the Rfam family "Bacterial small subunit ribosomal RNA", at positions 524 to 776 of the family's 1533-position model. The record is from RNAcentral.
UACGUAGGGUGCAAGCGUUAAUCGGAAUUACUGGGCGUAAAGCGUGCGCAGGCGGUUAUAUAAGACAGAUGUGAAAUCCCCGGGCUCAAGCUGGGAACUGCAUUUGUGACUGUAUAGCUAGAGUACGGUAGAGGGGGAUGGAAUUCCGCGUGUAGCAGUGAAAUGCGUAGAUAUGCGGAGGAACACCGAUGGCGAAGGCAAUCCCCUGGACCUGUACUGAAGCUCAUGUACGAAAGCGUGGGGAGCAAACAGG